AAUAUAGUAAUAACCAAUUAUUGGCUCUAGGGCAUAUUUCCAAUAGUCUCUCACUUGCACCAGAGUCAAUAAUCUAGUUCACAUCACUAUGUGAUUGUAAUGAAUCUAACACCCAUGGGGUUCGAUCACAUCUUGCUUGUAAGAGAGGUUUUUAGUCAACGGACCUGAAUCUUUCAGAUCCGUGUGUGCUUUACAAAUCUCUAUGUCAUCCUGUAGAUGCUGCCACCACGCGCCAUUUGGACCUAUUCCAAAUGGCCGCUCCACUAUAUGAAUCCGGUUUACUACUCAGAGUUAUCGAGAUUAGUGUCAAAGCUUGCAUCGACGUAACCCUUUACGACAAACUCUUUUAUCACCUCUAUAAUCGUGAAAAAAAUAAAUCCUUAGUCCACUAGUUACUAAGGAUAACUUUGACCUUUGUCAAACAAUCCAUUCGUGGAUCACUUUUGUACCCCUUGACGGAUUCAUGGCAAGGCACACAUCAAGUGCAGUACACAACAUAGCAUACUAUAGAGCCUACAACUAAGGCAUAGGGGACGACCUUCGUCCUUUCUUUUUCUUCUACCAUGGUCGGGCUUUGAGUCUUACUCAAUAUUCACACCUUACAACACAGCCAAGAACUCCUUCUUUGACAGAUCUAUUUUGAACUCCUUCAAAAUCUUGUCAUGAUAUGUAUUCAUUUGAAAGUUCUGUUAAGCAUUUUUAUCUAUAUCUAUAGAUCUUGAUGCUCAAUGUUCAAGUAGCUCAAUCCAGGUUUUCCUUUGAAAAACACGUUUCAAACAACCCUACAUGCUUUCCAGAAAUUCUAGAUCAUUUCCGAUCAAUAAUAUGUCAACCACAUAUACUCAUCAGAAAUUCUAUAGUGCUCCCACUGACUUCCUUGGAAAUACAAGUUUCUCAUAAACCUUGUAUAAACCCAACAGCUUUGAUCAUCUCAUCAAAGCAUAUAUUCGAACUCCAAGAUGCUUGCUCUAGUCCAUAGAAGGAUCGUUGGAGCUUGUAUACUUUUUAGGAUCCUUACAAUCGAAAAAACCUUCUGGUUGUAUCACUGUGGGGACCCCAACUUAAGAGUCGAGAUCACUGAAUGAACGUGCUC
Molecule: long non-coding RNA, 1093 nt
Filed under: Hordeum vulgare
Lineage: Eukaryota; Viridiplantae; Streptophyta; Magnoliopsida; Poales; Poaceae
Description: long non-coding RNA (HVUL_LNC018705)
Source: RNAcentral